UACGAAGGGUGCUAGCGUUGUUCGGAAUUACUGGGCGUAAAGGGCAUGUAGGUCGUGUGACAAGUUAGUGGUGAAACCCCGGGGCUCAACCUCGGAAUUGCCAUUAAAACUGUUGUGCUAGAGUGUAGGAGAGGAUAGCGGAAUACCCAGUGUAGAGGUGAAAUUUGUAGAUAUUGGGUAGAACACCAGAAGCGAAGGCGGCUAUCUGGCCUAUUACUGACGCUGAUAUGCGAAAGCGUGGGGAUCAAAC
This 250-nucleotide ribosomal RNA is filed under the name uncultured prokaryote. RNAcentral describes it as "partial 16S ribosomal RNA". It matches the Rfam family "Bacterial small subunit ribosomal RNA", at positions 524 to 773 of the family's 1533-position model. The record is from RNAcentral.